UACGAAGGGGGCUAGCGUUGUUCGGAUUUACUGGGCGUAAAGCGCACGUAGGCGGAUUGUUAAGUCAGGGGUGAAAUCCUGGAGCUCAACUCCAGAACUGCCUUUGAUACUGGCGAUCUUGAGUUCGGGAGAGGUGAGUGGAAUUCCGAGUGUAGAGGUGAAAUUCGUAGAUAUUCGGAAGAACACCAGUGGCGAAGGCGGCUCACUGGACCGGCAUUGACGCUGAGGUGCGAAAGCGUGGGGAGCAAACAGG
Molecule: ribosomal RNA, 253 nt
Filed under: uncultured bacterium
Lineage: Bacteria
Description: partial 16S ribosomal RNA
Rfam family: Bacterial small subunit ribosomal RNA
Source: RNAcentral